GGCUGCUUUCUGACCAUUCCAGCUGUGCAAUCAGACAAGCAACAGCACUGACAGCAGAGAAGAGAAAAGUGUACGAGCCCGUCCAACUCCAGGCUGCAGCUGUGUGAGAAGCAAUCCAGUUACACAAACCUCAACAACAGCCAUGCCUGGGUGCUGUGGGAGAAUGCUAUUGGUCAUUCCUCAUCCAUUUUUCCUACGGAAUACUUGAAAACAUGGGAGAAGCUGUCCUGAAAGACAAGCACAGAGGAGGCGAAGGACCUCUGCAGCCAGGAUGUGCUGCUGCGGUGUGCAAUUGCACAAACCAAGCUGUUGUGUAUUCAGAGUCGCAUCUGCCUGCCCAAAUGACCAAAAUGCAGUAUUCGCUGCUUUCUACUUCAUUUAAACCUGCAGGAGCCAGUAAUGCUCAUCCUCCUCAUGCGCCAAGGUGUCCACAUGUGCCACUCGCCAACCUGGGACUUCUUCACCGAGCAAUGUCUGAGCAAAUCUCCUAAAAACAGAGCAACUGCUCGCAGAUUAUUGUGAUCAUAAUUUGGCUGACACAGCCUUUAUUACUAAUGGUGAUGCUGGAGAUGGAAAACCCAGCUUGAUUCUCAGAUCCCUGCUGGAAAGUAAUAAAAUAAAGAGGAACAAAAUCCAUGAGUGUAUUUGCUACCAAACCUUUGAAAAACACAAAAAUGGAACCCUGCCAAUACUGUUGCUGGCAAUUUUUCAGACCAGAGCCUCUCUCUGAGAUAGCAUUAGAAUUGGAAGUGCAUUUUGUAUCUAUGGCAUUAGUAUCACAUUGUGUACAAACAGGGAGUUUACAAUUAUUUGACAUUUAUUGGUUUGCAUUGUAAUUAUUGUGUGCUGCUCUUAUAUCUUCAGUCUAUUCUUAAGCACCUUCCAGUAACGUAAUAAUUAGAAAAUAACCCCAGUUAUUGUGUAAAAUGUGUUUAUUUUGUUAACUGAAAAAAUGGACAAAAGAAGUGCUUCAGUGGAAGUGCUCUUAUCAAAAUGGAAGGUAUUGCAGUCUUUCAGUGAGGCCUUUGUUGAGAAGAUCGGCUAAGGGAGGUUGACUUUUACAUAGUCUCCUUUGUCCAUCAUUGUGCAAUGGCAGAAUUCACAGCUAAUUCUGAUGGCAGAAGCUUCUCUUGGGGUGGUAGCUGAGGAUGAUAUAAUAUCAUGUACAACCCUAGGAAACUUCCCCAAGCCAUAGCUAGGAUUUUGAAUAACAGAAUGAGCCUUUGGUACUAAGAAACAAGCCUGUGGUACUAGGAAUACAGAAAAAGCUAUUAAAAUUUUAAAUGUAUAAAGGGCCACUUGAUAAAAUCAGUAGCAAAUAAAGAGGAAUGUAAAUGUAAUUUCAUUGAUUGAUUUCACUUCCUCUCUUCUUUCAUGUUAAUAUAUUUUUGUCCCUUAAUUCAUAACCACACGGUAAUUAAAAAAUGCAAGAAAAACUAACUUUUUACCACGCUAAUUAAACUGUAUGUCACAUAGGCAUUUGGGGAGAAUUUCCCAUGCUUUCCAGUGUGAAUGGAAGGAAAGAGCAGUGGUGCUCACUUUAAACUCGAUUUUUCUCCAGUACCUUGCAAAAAGGCUUCAUUGUAUUUUGAUUAAUCCAUGCUUGGUCCACCUCUGAUGUUUCCAUGGAAACAGAUUUUUUUUUUUUUUU
Cairina moschata (Muscovy duck) is the source of this 1651-nucleotide long non-coding RNA. The record is from Ensembl. Lineage: Eukaryota; Metazoa; Chordata; Aves; Anseriformes; Anatidae.